GCGAGCAUGGUGUAGUGGUUUGAGUGUCGAACUACAACUCUGGAGACCAGGGUUCGAUUCCCAGCUCAGCCA
Phrynosoma platyrhinos (Desert horned lizard) is the source of this 72-nucleotide non-coding RNA. NCBI's taxonomy places the organism in Eukaryota, Metazoa, Chordata, Lepidosauria, Squamata, Phrynosomatidae. The record is from the annotation of a GenBank genome assembly.